This 468-nucleotide ribosomal RNA is filed under the name uncultured bacterium. RNAcentral's name for it is "partial 16S ribosomal RNA". It matches the Rfam family "Bacterial small subunit ribosomal RNA", at positions 28 to 507 of the family's 1533-position model. The record is from RNAcentral.
GACGAACGCUGGCGGCGUGCUUAACACAUGCAAGUCGAACGGAAAGGCCCUGCUUUUGUGGGGUGCUCGAGUGGCGAACGGGUGAGUAACACGUGAGUAACCUGCCCUUGACUUUGGGAUAACUUCAGGAAACUGGGGCUAAUACCGGAUAGGAGCUCCUGCUGCAUGGUGGGGGUUGGAAAGUUUCGGCGGUUGGGGAUGGACUCGCGGCUUAUCAGCUUGUUGGUGGGGUAGUGGCUUACCAAGGCUUUGACGGGUAGCCGGCCUGAGAGGGUGACCGGCCACAUUGGGACGGGGAUGCGGCCCAGACUCCUACGGGAGGCAGCAGUGGGGAAUAGUGCACAAUGGGCGGAAGCCUGAUGCAGCAACGCCGCGUGCGGGAUGACGGCCUUCGGGUUGUAAACCGCUUUCGCCUGUGACGAAGCGUGAGUGACGGUAAUGGGUAAAGAAGCACCGGCUAACUACGUG